AGAGUUUGAUCCUGGCUCAGAGUGAACGCUGGCGGCAGGCCUAAUACAUGCAAGUCGAACGGCAGCACAGCAGAGCUUGCUCUGUGGGUGGCGAGUGGCGGACGGGUGAGGAAUACAUGGGAAUCUGCCCAGUCGUGGGGGGUAACGUAUGGAAACGUACGCUAAUACCGCAUGCGCCCUACGGGGGAAAGCCGGGGACCGCAAGGCCUGGCGCGAUUGGAUGAGCCCAUGUUCGAUUAGCUAGUUGGCGGGGUAAAGGCCCACCAAGGCGACGAUCGAUAGCUGGUCUGGGAGGAUGAUCAGCCACACUGGAACUGAGACACGGUCCAGACUCCUACGGGAGGCAGCAGUAGGGAAUAUUGGACAAUGGGGGCAACCCUGAUCCAGCCAUGCCGCGUGAGUGAAGAAGGCCCUCGGGUUGUAAAGCUCUUUUGUCCGGAAAGAAAAGCAAUCGGUUAAUACCCGGUUGUCCUGACGGUACCGGAAGAAUAAGCACCGGCUAACUUCGUGCCAGCAGCCGCGGUAAUACGAAGGGUGCAAGCGUUACUCGGAAUUACUGGGCGUAAAGGGUGCGUAGGUGGUUUUUUAAGUCUGCUGUGAAAUCCCCGGGCUCAACCUGGGAAUGGCAGUGGAUACUGGAAAGCUGGAGUGCGGUAGAGGGUAGUGGAAUUCCCGGUGUAGCAGUGAAAUGCGUAGAGAUCGGGAGGAACAUCCGUGGCGAAGGCGGCUACCUGGACCAGCACUGACACUGAGGCACGAAAGCGUGGGGAGCAAACAGGAUUAGAUACCCUGCUAGUCCACGCCCUAAACGAUGCGAACUGGAUGUUGGGUGCAACUUGGCACUCAGUAUCGAAGCUAACGCGUUAAGUUCGCCGCCUGGGGAGUACGGUCGCAAGACUGAAACUCAAAGGAAUUGACGGGGGCCCGCACAAGCGGUGGAGUAUGUGGUUUAAUUCGAUGCAACGCGAAGAACCUUACCUGGCCUUGACAUGCACGGAA
RNAcentral lists this ribosomal RNA (999 nucleotides) under uncultured bacterium. RNAcentral's name for it is "bacterial SSU rRNA". It matches the Rfam family "Bacterial small subunit ribosomal RNA", at positions 8 to 995 of the family's 1533-position model. The record is from RNAcentral.